GGAUCUGGGUUUCAAUCCUGUCUCCACCACUUGUGGAUUCUGUCGAAUCUCUAUUUUAUCAUCUGCAAAAGACGGUUGAUGCUUAUUUGAGAGGUGAUAUGGGGACUGAGUGAGAUAGCACAUGCCAAUCAUGUUGCCUAGUGUCUGAUCCCUAGGAAGGGCUCAGCUAGUUUCUUUCUGUUGGUCAGGGAGACUCUGUUCAAUUCACCUCUCACUUACUGAGUGCCUGCUGGAUGCCAGACAGUGAGUGGGCCCCUGGGGAUACAGAAACAAAUAAGAUGCGGCCCCUGCUCUGGAGUCUCACAGCCUCGAUUAGGCACUGUACAGUUUGUGGUAAACUGUUUAAACAUAUAGUGACACUUCUGCCUCUCCUGAUCAGUUUGGCCCUUUGGGGAGCCUGCUUCCGGACACAGCAGCAAGUGAAUAUGCAUCAUUUGGACAAUGAAGAAAGGCAAACCACCAAAGGCAAAAAGAGAAAGAAGGACCUCCAGAAUGGGAGAAUAAUUCCUCACUCGUCAGGAAAGGGAGAAUAUCCCCAGCCCCAUUUCAAGCUGUCAUCAUGA
Molecule: long non-coding RNA, 563 nt
Filed under: Callithrix jacchus (white-tufted-ear marmoset)
Lineage: Eukaryota; Metazoa; Chordata; Mammalia; Primates; Cebidae
Description: lncRNA (ENSCJAG00000054326.2)
Source: RNAcentral